CCUGGUGGCUCAGAGGUUAAAGCGUCUGCCUGGAAUGCAGGAGACCCAGGUUCGAUCCCUGGGCCAGGA
RNAcentral lists this transfer RNA (69 nucleotides) under Ovis aries (sheep). It matches the Rfam family "tRNA". Rfam says of the family: Transfer RNA (tRNA) molecules are approximately 80 nucleotides in length. Their secondary structure includes four short double-helical elements and three loops (D, anti-codon, and T loops). Further hydrogen bonds mediate the characteristic L-shaped molecular structure. tRNAs have two regions of fundamental functional importance: the anti-codon, which is responsible for specific mRNA codon recognition, and the 3' end, to which the tRNAs corresponding amino acid is attached (by aminoacyl-tRNA synthetases). tRNAs cope with the degeneracy of the genetic code in two manners: having more than one tRNA (with a specific anti-codon) for a particular amino acid; and 'wobble' base-pairing, i.e. permitting non-standard base-pairing at the 3rd anti-codon position. Lineage: Eukaryota; Metazoa; Chordata; Mammalia; Artiodactyla; Bovidae. The record is from Rfam by way of RNAcentral.